GACGAACGCUGGCUGCGUGCCUAAUACAUGCAAGUAAGACGCAGUUGCGAACGGGUGAGUAACGCGUGGGUCACUGCCGAUUAGAGGGGGAUAACUCGUGGAAACGAUAGCUAAUACAGCAUACUAGUGGAUCAACCUGCUUUUGAUUAGCUAGUAGGGCGGGUAAUGGCAUACCUAGGCGACGAUACAUAGCCGCACGGCGUGUGGGAUCGGCAACAUUGGGACUGAGACACGUCCCUGACUCCUCCGGGAUGCAGCAGUAGGGAAUCUGCGGCAAUGUGGGGAACCCCGACCGAGCAACGCCGCGUGAGUUAAGAAGGUUUUCGGAUCGUAAAGCUCUGUUGUUAAUGAAGCGGUACUUAACCAGAAAGGGACGGCUAACUACGUGCCAGCAGCCGCGGUAAUUC
This 407-nucleotide ribosomal RNA is filed under the name uncultured bacterium. RNAcentral's name for it is "partial 16S ribosomal RNA". It matches the Rfam family "Bacterial small subunit ribosomal RNA", at positions 28 to 526 of the family's 1533-position model. The record is from RNAcentral.